Molecule: long non-coding RNA, 20572 nt
Filed under: Medicago truncatula (barrel medic)
Lineage: Eukaryota; Viridiplantae; Streptophyta; Magnoliopsida; Fabales; Fabaceae
Description: long non-coding RNA (MTRU_LNC001366)
Rfam family: MIR2606 microRNA precursor family (bases 17615-17779)
Source: RNAcentral
GUACUUUAGCUAUUUCCACUGGCUUGGUUAAUUCCUCCACAAUACUGGUUAGGAGUUUUCUUUGUGCGAGUAGAGCAUCGUUCGUUUCGAGCUCAAAUAUACCAUCCUUCUUUGCAUGAUGAUCUUUGUUAUACUCUGAAUUUUGAUCAUUGCUUCCAUGGAUUCGAUCAUCUUUAUGGCAUCAACAGAACUUUCUAACAUCAGUGCACCUCCUACUCUUGCAUCAAGAAAUAGUUUAUGUUACUGCUGAAGACCAUUUCUCAAAAUAUGAAUUUGCGUGAUGUCAUCAAAUCCAUGACUUGGACAUUUGCGAGGCAUGGACUUGUAUCUUUGCCAUGCUUCACAUAACGUCUCAUUGAAAACAAUGAUUAAUGUCUUUGCUUCAUAAAUUUUGCGUUGAGGAAAAAAUUAUUUGAUGAACUUGUCCUCCAAAGUGUUCUGAUUUGUUAGAAUUGUGAAUGAUUGGUCUAAGUACCAAUCUUUGGUUCGUUCGAUGAGGGAUUGAGGAAAUAACCUUAGGUAUAGGUUUUCCUCUGCGCUGUCUAAUGCUCCUGGACGUUCAUCAAUUUCAUAGAACUUUGUCAGAUGGUUGAUAGGAUCCUCAUAAUCCAUUCCGCUGAACGGAUUUGCAUGCAUAAGUUGGAUAACUCCCGUGUUGAUCUCCAUUUGCCUUUGAUUAUUUCCAGGUUUGGCUGAUUAAGCGUAUCUCCUCGGCCUGUUGUUAUUCAUUAUUGUUGUUGUUGAUGUUUCGUCAGUGUUGGCCAUAUUUGUUGUAGCUUGUUGUAAUGAUUUUCUUCGGUUCUUGGCUUUGCAUGCUUAGAGAAUUUUUCAGGACAUAAACUAAUAUAUACAUAUUUUAUCUGGUUCACUGAGCACAUGGGUGUGCUUAGUGGAAAUUACAUGUCAAAAUUGAACAAAAACUCUAUUUUUGCAAACUAAUUAGAUGCAGUCCUCGACAACGACACUAUUUUGAUAAAACUGGAUUUGGGGAUUCCUUAGCGUAGUGGUAAGUAUGCCAGUUUUUAUCAAACAAAUAAAAAUAUCAUAUCCACAGAGACCACACUUAGUUAUUUUAAGUUCCUAUUAACAGGUUUUAUGGACAAACUAUUUAUAAAAGUGUUUUAGUGGUUUAAAUCAACGGAAAACUGAAUCCAACGAUUGUAUAUUUUUUAUGCCUCAUAUAUAAUCAACCAUUUCCUCAUAGUACGUUUUCGGAUAAGGGUAGCGACACAAGAUCCAUAAAAACAAUGGACUUCUGAUGCACAAUGACAAAUUAGUUGAUUGUUUCUAUGGCAUAAUCUCAAAAAGUUAUACAUGAAUUUAGACUUACUCGCGAUCUCUCGUGCGAUAACACCUAUACAUAAUUUAAACCAUGUCCCUUAGAUAGCCAGUCUUGUAGGGCCUGACUAAAUCAAAAGAUCAAUUGUGGAACACUAUAUCGUCUUCAAAACAUUAAGAACGAAUUUUAACUAAAAUUAUAUUGAAAAAGAUAAAUCAUAUACAACAAACCAGAUUAAGAGUACUACAUAAAUUCAUAGCUAUAUACAUCUAAUUCCAACAUAAAAGAGAGUUUAGUUACCCAUGAGAUGCAUGACUAACAACAGAGGGUUGAUGAAUGUUGGGGGAAGCAUCAACAGGCUCGUCUUCAAGCUUCCAUGUCCCUCCAAUGGCUUCAACUACUCUAUGCCCUCAUUCUCUCUGUCUCCAAGCUUGUCAUCAAAAGCAUCAUAAAGGUGCCAUUCAACAUAUAGAUUAUUAUGAAUAAUUGAAUUUUACAGUUCUAUUAAAUCAUAUCAUACUGUUGUUGUGUGUUCGUAUUGUUGUUUCGUUUCUUGAUUAGAGAUUGGAGGGUAAUAGACGUGGCAACUUUCGCGGUGGUUUGGUUCUAUUAACCCGAAAGGGUCUGGUUCUAUUAACUCGAAAGGAUCUGAUUGGUUACUAACGUAUUGAAUCAAAGUUUUUACGCAUAUGCUUAAAACUGUUGUGUUUGGUGGUAUGACAUAUUCGAUUCUCUGGCAUUCCAGGUCUGUUUAGAUCUACAGGCUUCAAGGUGUCAUGUCUACCUCCACCCGAGUACUGUUAAUGUUCGAAAGAGCUUCUAUACUUGCUGAUGUUUUCAGGGAGUUGUUGGCGCUUGGAUUUUGUACCGUGUUGGCGGUCGAUCCAUUCGCCAUUUUAAACUCUAACUGUUUUUUGCAAACGUUCACUCUUUAUGUUUUUUGUAACUUGGUUUCGUGCCUGUAAGCAGGUUCGCUGAGUUGCGUUAGUGAUAAGUGAAUUUUUGUUACGAUAGUUUAGGGUUGGUCCACUUGGUACGAUUUAGCACGAUAUAUUUUAUACUUGAAUGAGGUCUAAUAUUCCCCCAGUCUCUGUAUCUCUCUAUUUUUAUUUAAUAUAUUUUCCCUUUCGUUAAAAAAAAUCAUAUCAUAUAUCUCCCACACUACACCAUAUCAUAUCUCCUUCUCCUUCCCUUGCCUCCCAUCCCACCACCACCAACAACCCAUGGCUUUCAAUGUGUGUAGUUCUGCAUUAAGACGAUUAAAAACCAGGAAACAAAUAUAAACACAUAUCAUCAUCAAACACAAAUCCCCUCACCAAACAAUUUUUUUUUUAAAAAAGUGCUAUUUUUUGGGUAAAUUUGUGGUGUGGAUUUCUAUUGUCUAGGUCAAUUAUUUUUUAUUAUUUUUUUUUUUUUAAGUUUUUAGGAAUACUAGUGCGAGCAAAUCUCAGGAGGUUACCUAGCAACCAAUAUUGUUGUAGUCUUUAAAAAAGAGUUUAUCUUCCAAUAAUUUAUCUUUUGAAGAACAUAUUACAUUAUUCAAUUUAGAAAUUAAUGACUUUUUGCCUCUUUAUUUUUUUAUUUUUUUUAACAGGAGAUCCACGAAGGUGAUUUACAAACUCAUAUCACUACAAAGGACUUUUCUUUGAGCUUAAAACAAAGAUAGGAAGAAGACUUUUUGUGUAAGUUGAGAUAAUAUUUUGUUUACUAAAGAAAGAAUGAUGGGAUGUCUUGGUGUGAAUAAUAUUGAAUUUAAUGUAUAUAUUUUGUUUAUGGAUAAGGAUGCAACUUGAUAUGGUUUAAUGUCUUAAAAAAUGGUUGAUUCUUCUACACGGUGUUCUAGUUUGAUACUCAUUGAUUUGUCAAAAUUUAAAUUAUGAAGUUUCAUCUUAAGGUGUGUAUUAGACAAGUUUUAAUAGGUCAAUCCCUGUAGAAUUUGUUAAUUAACUUACACUUGCUAAUUAAUUUUUUAGUAGAUCAAACUAGAAGCUAGUUAUCUUAAGAUGCGUUUAACAAAUGCUCUCGUAAUUUUUGUUUGACCGGAAAUGCUCUUAUAGUUUUUUUUUUUUUAAAAGAGAAAUGCUCUUAUAGUUAUAACUUACUAAUUUACCUCCACUAAUUAAUUUAUCUAUGAGAUAUAUAAAUGUCUGCUUUCUUUUUUGGGUCAAGAAUGUUAACUAAUUUACUAAUUUACCUCCACUAACUAAUUAAUUUACCUCCACUAAUAAAAUAUUUUGCUUGACUUUUUUUUAAGAAGUUAAAUUAGCCCAUUAAAUUAGCACAAUGGCACCAGAUAUAAUCAAAUCUGAGACAAGAGCACACUUUCAGGUCCCAAGCCAAUACCACUAGAACAAUUCAAGCGGGUUAUUUUAUUACGUAGGAGAACCACAAACUUAUCAAUUUAAUCAAGUGCACUUUCUCUUUUUUAUCUUGGAUAAAUGUGUGCUUUUUUUUUUUUGGUUGUCAAGAAUGUGUGCUUUUUUAUCAAGGCAGUAUUUUCUUAGGUGCCUUGCAGAUAUAUAUAAACUAUAAACUAUAGGUAACAAUGAGUGUAUAAAUUCAUAUAUUGUUCUAAAGAUUACCAUGUACUUCGAUUUGCUUAUCUUAUCAAAAUAAAUAAAUUGUUUUGUUUAUCUUUAUAUUUACACGCCACCUGGCCCAAUUAUAUGGGUUGGUCACAUCUUAAUUAAUUUACUUUUAGAUUUAUGAGAAAAUGAUUGGACACCUCAUUCAUGAUCCAUAUGAAUGGUUGUUUCAUUAUUUGUGUGUGUUUUUUAUUACUGUCUUAAAAUAUAAGCAAUUUUUUUUUUUUAAUAAUAUAAACAAAAAAGAUCAACUUUUAUGCUGUUAUUAUGUUUUUUCAAACAAAACAUCUUUUUCAAUGUAAAAUUAAAUGCAGUUGUAUUCAAUUUGUUCUCCUUUUUAUUUUCUCUAUAAUUUUUAACCAAUGAGAAUUAUUUUUAUUUCUUUCCAUGAAACUUAUUCCAAGGAGAAUACAAAAAAUUAUACCUCAAAUCAUUAAGUAUUAGUUUUCUUAAUAAGUGUGAAUUAGUGUUUUAUGCUUAUAAAUUAUGACGGAGGAAGUAUUUAUAAAGGUCUAUGUUUGUCUUUAUCAAUUGCAACAAAAUUUAGUGACUAUAGCAUAUUUUAGUAUUAAUUUAAAGUAAAAAUACUACUCCCUCUGUAUCAAAAUAUAAGCAAAAUUCACUUUUUAAGUUCAUUCAUUUAAUGAUGUAUGUGGUCCAUAUUAUAAACUACAUACAUCAUUAAAUGAAUGAACCUAAAAAGUAAAUUUUGUUUAUAUUUUGACGGAGUAAGAUUUUUGUUAUUAGACUUUCAAUUUGGUUUUUGAACUAUUACUCCCUCUCAAAUACCACCCUUAAACUAUAAGCUCCAAUAAAUAGUUUACAAGCAUAGAGAUUUAAUUGAACUAUCAGCUUGAAUUGUUUAUGCAUUCACAUAUUUUUUUACAUAGUAAAGAUGUUAUAAGAAUGAAAUGUUAGAGAAAUAUGACGGUUUAUUUUACAAUAGAGAUUUAAUUGUCUCGUUUCUUUGUGUAACGAUUCGAUUUUAAGAAGGAAGAUAAUGGAUGCAUUAAUCUAAAACUUGGUUUCUCAUUUUUAAUAAAAACUUUUGCUUAUAAAUUAAAAAAAAAAAAAAAAAGCUUAAUUAAGACUUAUCUAGGCCAAAAUUCCAACUCGAUCCAAUGUGUGGUAAAUGGUAAUCAGUUGAAGAAAACCACUUUACUGUUCCUUUAAUUUCAUUGUAUUAUUACACUUUCAUUUUCUCCUUGUCACACAUAUGCUAGCUACUGUCUAGUUACUCUACCUUUUAUCAUGGACGAAUAAAUUUUUGUUAGGUGAAAAAUAAUGUGAUCAAAUAGAUUUGAUGAGAACAGUAUAACGCAACUCUAUUAUUUUACAACAAAUGUUAGUAUCUCUUUCUAUAAUGAGAUAUUAAACAAGUCUUUCUAUAAUCAAAUUUCUCUCUUUUUUUUUUCCAUUCAAAUUGACCAGAAUACAUCAAUAGUAUACAAUACAAAUCCAAAGUCGUUAAAAAUAAAAAGGAUGAAUCUGCGAACAAACUCACAACAUCCAUGUUAAUAACAUAAAACGGCAUAAUACAUAUGGCUACAAAUAUGACUAUGUUCAAGCCACCGAAAUACUCGUUUUCGUAUCUUCAACAUUGAUGAUGCAAAAAUCAAUGAUUGAAUCUACGCUUGAUCAAGCUAAUCUUUCAAUCUGAAUCAAAUAAACACCAUACUAAAUUGAAAAAUAAAAAACACACAGCACAAAGAUGAAAAAUCAAAAUAAAUAAAGUCGUGUUAGACGACGAAAUAAAAAACAAACGAAAAUUUAAAAUAUUUGAAAAUCACUUAUUAAACUAAAAGAUAAAGAAAAACAAUCUGGAAGGGUGAUUUUGAACCAAACUUGAUCAUAAACCAUUUCUCUUUAGAAAAUCAAGAAAAAGAAAAGUUGUAACCGAUAGAGUUUGAGAAUGAGAAAAGAGAUAGGGAAAGAGAUCUCUUUUUUCUUUGUUAAUUGAUAUUUUUCUUUUAUGAAUUAUGCAUGCGAUCAACUUCCUUUUUUGUCUUCCUAUUUUUGCGUCUCAAUGUUAAUAUUCUUUCUGGAGUUCAAGGUUAAAGAGAAAAGAACAAGAAAAAAGUAUUAAAGAAACAGUUGCAUCCUAUUUAACAUUUAAAAGAAUAAUAACAAGCUCUAGAGAGUUCAUGGAAUUUGGUGCAGCUUAAAAUAAUCUUUUCGAAAUGUUGUUUAUGACACACAAAGCUUUUCAUUGGUCUGUCAGAACACCAAAAACUCUUGCUCAUAUUUAAGGUCACAGUUACAUAUCUUGAGAUGUCUUUUUUCACACUUAUAUUACUACUACUCUUCUUUCUAUUACCAUCAUAUGAAUACAUCGGGUCUGUUUGGGAAACCCAAAAAAAGAACUUUUAGCUUUUAACUUAUAGCUUAUAAGUUCGUUUGAUAAAAAAAGCUCUGUUUGGUAACACUUUUCACCAUGAGCUUAUAGCUUAUUUCACAAGCUUAUAAGCUAUUUUUCAGAAGCUAUUCCAAGUAGCGUUUGAGCUUAUAGCUUAUAGCUUCUCACUUUUUCUUUCAAUUUUACCCUUAUUAUUUCAUUUAAAUUGUAUUUUUAUCCAUUAUAAUUUUUAUAAUAAGCUACGUAAUAAAGACUACUAUCCCUUUAUUCCAAUUUUUGUAUAUAUAUCAGCUGGCCUUUUUUUUUUUUUUUUUAAAAAAUAUAUACCUUCGUUUUUUUUUUUACGAAACAAAAUACUAUUAUUCUAUUAGUGUUACUUUUUUUUUUUUUUUUUUUGAGGUAAGUGUUAUUUUCUUUAUUCUCUGUUAUUAGUAUUACUCUAUUAGUGCUACCUUUUUUUUUUUUUUUUAGGUAAAUGUUAUUUUCUUUAUAAAGUAGAAACACUUAAAUGAUAAUAAAUAUAAGAUAAAAUUUUAGUGAAUAAAAUUUAAUUUAAUUUAUAAUACAUAGGAUAUAUUAAAUUAAUAAAUUUAAAGUAUUUUUUUAAAGAAAAAUUAGUUUACAAAAUUACAAAUACUUAAAUUAAUGAUAUAAUUUUUAUUAUGAAUUAAGAAUACCCUUUAUGUCAUUUUACAUUUAUCAGCUAAUUGAACCGCUAUUUUUACCAAACACUUCAGUUAGCUUAUCAGCUAAAAGCUAUCAGCUAGCUUAUCAGCUAAAAGCUAUCAGCUAGCUUAUCAGCUAUCCGCUAUUUUUACCAAACAGAGCCAUCGUAGUUUUUUCAUUUGCCAUCUAUUUACAUUAAGUUCUUUGAUUCCAUUUUUUAGUCAAUGGCAACCUAAAUAUAUGUAACAAUUGGUCAGGUUCGAGGCUGCUCAUCAACCUACAUCAUUCGGUUGUUAAGAAGUUUAAGACUUAAUAAGUUUGCAUUAUGAUUUCACAAUACAAUGUUAGAGUAACUUAUUAUUUCACAAUCUGAUUUGAUUUUUUUUUUACCAUGUUCUUGAAUUGUUGUCGUGACCUUAACACUUCUCAAGUUCAAGGUCAAAGCAUCAGUCAAAACUUAAGUCAGAGUUCGGCUUCUUCUCAACGUACUUCGUACAACGAUUUUUCCAAUCUGUCUCAAAUUAGGCCAAUUGCUGAAUUUAUAAACUUAGUCAAGGUCUGUUUUUUUUUUUUUUUUAUGCACAAACAUGCUUUGAGUUUUUUUAUGCACAAAUUAAAAAUAUAUAUUGCAUUAUUCUUUAUUUCAUGUGCAUAAUUUGUGUUAGGAUACAUACUGCAUCACUAUUUGGAAAACAACUAAAUUCAAUCCUAACCAGUUUGGAUGAUACUAUGAGAGUUGCACCAAAUGUUCGAAGACAUCAAUGUCAAAUGGUGAUAGCUAUAAAUGCAAAUGAAGGAGUGAUGCUUAAUUUCCAUUUGUUUCAACAAUGUUAAUUGGCCAACGGGGUACAUAUAAUCCACAUGCAUGCAUUUAUCUAGACUUUAUAGGAAGAUAAAUUAGAAGUCAUGGUACAUUUUCUUUAGCUUAAAAUCAGUUAUGCUACCUUCAUUUUAUAAAUUAUAUGUAACUAUAUUUGCAUACAUCUUAUCCAUGUUAAUAUGCAUUAGACUAAUAUUGCAGUUAUUUCCCUGUUUAGCAUUUCCCAAACGAGGUGUCAAGAACAAUUCUGAAAGAAAAGCGCAAAACAAUCACUCUCAUUGAUGACCAGACACAGAGAAAGUAUAAGUGUCGCGUCAUUACCGCCGAAAGAGCAAGCUAUGAAAAAUACUUAGGUGGGCAUUGGUUCAAUUUCUACAGAGAACGUGUGAUGGAAGAAGGUGGAAAGCUCAUCUUUGAUCUCGAAAAGUCAUCGAAGAAUUUGCACGUUCGAGUUGUUCCAAAAUAGAUCUUUGCUGCUGAACUAUUUGAACUUCUACUAUUUUGACAUAUCGGUUUGGACUGUAAUCGUAAACUAUCUUGACUUUGGGAUGCCAUUUGUUCUUUUCAUUUUGUCUGAUGUAAAUUGUAACGCCCUAGUCGUUAUUUUAUUUAUUUUUGAUUUAUUUAGAGUAUUUUGUAUGAUUUUAAAUAAUAUUUGUGGUUUAUGUGGUGUGUUAUAUUUUAUUAUAUAGUUUAUUUUAAUAAUAAUUAGAAUAAGUGGGAAUUAAUAAUAUUUUGGAGGUUGGGGAGUUAAUUAGGAAUUAAUAGAAUUAAGGGGGAGUAAAUGAAAUAAAGGGGAGUUAUAUUUUGGGGAGUUAGGAAAAGAAAGGUCAGAAACGUUUUACGGGAAAACAGAGCUUUUGGGAGAAAAGGGAGAGAAGAGCAAGUAGAGCCAAGCGAACCUGAAUUGCUGUGCAUUUUUCUUCUGAAUUAAGGUAAGGGUGAGAUUUGCUUCAAUAGUAUAGUUAUUAAAUUCUGAUUUUGAUUUAACAAACUUUUGGUGGAAUUUGGGGAUUUUAGGUUAUUGAUGAAUUAUUGAGUUAUGGGUGUAGAGAUUGCUGUUCUGAUGUUAGAAUUAGGUUCUGGUUGCAUACAUCACUUAGUUUUACAUCUGUAAACCAAUUUGGGGAGUGAAAGUGAGAAAAUUGGAUUUUUGGGGAAAAACCUGCAUUCUGCCCGUGCUGACGUUCAUCGCUCGCCCCGGUGAGUAGCUAGUCUCGUCUCGCGAGUGAACAACUCCAUGGCUCGCCUCGCGAGCAGAACCACUCGCCAUGGCGAUCAUGUGCCUGAGAGAUCAUGAUUUUUGAAUUGUUGUUAUAAGCUGUAAUAUGGAUAGUCUUGAGUGCCUAGAUGAUUUUAGAGAGGACUGGGACAAUUUUCAGAUUAAAAAGAUGAAUAGGGAGCUUAAAAAUGAAGAUUUAGUGAGAAAAAUGUCAAAACUCCCGAGAGCACCCUUUUUCUCAUUCGCCUUGAGUUCACCACGGCGAGCAACCUAAUCCUUGAGUUCGCCAUAGCGAGUAGAUGUACUUGCGAGGCGAGCUGCCCAGAUUUUGAGCUGUUUAUUCUGUUUCGAAUGUUGUUGAAUGAUCUUGAUGUUUAAGCAUGUUUAUGAUUAAUUGUGCAUUUUUCUGAAAUUGUUGGAUUGAAUUAUACUGAUCUGUUGUUGACUGUGAUGUAUGCUUUUAUUUAAUUAAAUCAUACAUGUUGUUGAAUUGUGGGUUGUGAGUCAUAUACAUAUAUAUGCAUUUGUUGAGUUGUAUGUAGAUAUACACAAGUGGAGUCAGUUGCAUAAGCAUAUAAAGCGGGAGGGCUCUUGCCCUGGAACGCAUUGUCGUUCAAAGCGGGAGGACUCAUGUCCUGGAACACUUAUUGUUCAAAGCGGUGAGGGCUUAUGCCCUGAUGAAUGCUUUAACCAUUCAAUAUCCGGUGAGGGCUACUGCCCUGUAAAAUUGGUACCACAUGCAUGUGCAUUGUCGAGGAGUCUUAGUGGUGUUGUCGAGUAGUUGCAUGAGUCGUGUUAUUGGUUGUGAUUACCAUUAUUGCUGAUGUUGCUGUUUAUGAAGUAUAUGUUCAUAUUGGAUAACUAUUAUUAUGUUAGGGUGUUAGAUUCAAUUGAUAAAUUUAAUAUAUAUAUUUAUUGUUGUGAAUCUCACCCCUUCUGCUUGAAAAUGUUGCCCUUCCUAUGGGUAACUUGCAGGUGAUCCUGAGUAGUAGGUGGUGGCUCAAGUGUCUAGGGCUCUGAUACGUACGGGAUGAGAUUUAUUUUCUUAUUUUCAUUCCUAUGUAUCAAUUUCUGGAACAUGUUGAUGUAGUCCUUUAUUUGGUUGUUGAAGUAAUUGAUGAGGCUUUUGCCAAGAUUAUUUAUUGGAGAAUUAAUAUGUUGGAUGUUGUUGUUAUUUAAAUGUUGAAAAUAUUCCGCUGCAAAGUUUUGAUGAAACCGUUUAAGUUGUUUUUUAUUAAAUAGUUUUAUAAUCUAUUUAAUUUUUUUUGAAAAGUAGUGUGACAUGCCCGUUUGAGAUAUACUCUGAAGUAUGUUUAUUAUUUAUUUAAUUGCUUUGGGAUAACGGGAUGUUACAUAAAUAUUGGCAAAAAUACCUUUUUGGUUAGUCAAUGACACUUGCAGUCUCUUUUAUAAACCCAACUAUUAUGUAACGUUAAUAUGCACAUUGUUGGUUCCUUUGUUGGUUCCAAUUAGUAUCAUGUUAAUUAUAAUGUUGUUUUUCAUAAUCUCUUGAACAAAAUAGAACAUGCUCUUUUCCUACAUAAAAUCUUAGAAAAAUGCAGCUAUUUUCCUUAAUUUGCUCAUUUCUCCUUUAUAACAAAGUUUUUUAAAAAUACAGCAAAAUUGAUUUAUUUAGAAUAUUCGAGUUUGUGCAAUAUUCAUUAAUUUGCUCAUUUUUCCUUUGGAACAAUUUUUUUACAAGAUACGUUAUUCAACCCGUGCUUGUAACCGUAUGCUCUGUGUUAGCAAGGGCAAAAGAGAGAGCAAACAUCCUACUUGGAGAUCUAUAUAGUAACCUAGCACAUUCUAUCAUUCUGUUAGCUAUAAGCCUAGUAAAGGGUGAGGUUAGGUGAAAAAUUUACACAUUUAUUCUUUAGUAUUUGGUAAUAUUAGUUAUUGAACUAGUUGAUAAAUAUAAAAUGAUAAAAUAUUAUAUAAUUAAUAUUUAAUCUUUUCCGUUGAGAUUACAAUGUAAAAUUGAAAUAAAAACGAUAUAUAUCCAUUUGAAAUAGUUUAUAAAAAAACGUGUUAAACUAGUUAAAAAAAACUAUAAAAAUCCGUGAAAACAUCAUAAGCUCAAAUGUUGGACUUAGAAACAAAGUCAAUUUUUUUUUUUUUUUUGCUAAACCAAGAGAAUGGAUAGGCAUCAAGGGGAAGAAACGACAUCCCAACUAGAUUGGCACCCGCAGAACCCCCAUCCUAUGCCGCCAAACUCAAGAAAUUUUAUUAAAAAAAGGGGGAAAAGAUUACAUGAGGGGGGACUAGGCCAAAACCCUAAAAAAAAACAAGAAACAAAAAGCAACCAAACAGAAAAAUAAACAGAAAACAGAAAAAGAGCAACUGUCUACGGGAACCUAGAGAGCGAGGGAACCCACUCCGAUCCAAGAAGAGAUCAAUCUGAAGAGUCUGAGGCAACACUGAGAACCAAACCGAGUCUUGUGUCGAGUGACCCAUAUUAGCCAGCAAAUCUGCACAACAAUUUCCUUCCCUAAAGAUGUGAGAAGUAAUAACAUGUAAGAGGACUGAUUUUAAAUGACUUUUGUGAUAACCUUUUUCUCCUCUUUUUACUGGACAAUAACAAUAGAGAAUGAAAAAAUAAGAGAAAGAAUAAGAGUACAACAAAAAUAUAAGAAAUAAAAUUGUCACAAAAAAUAUACAAAUAUUAUCAUAAAAAUUAUUUAAAAAUGGUUGUUCCACUAUUAUUUCUUUAAUUAUAUAGUGUAUUGCAUGUGCAAAAGAAAUAAGCCAAGUUAAAUGACACCAUAUGCCAAAUGCAAAUGGUCCCACUUAAUUAAAUUGAUUGACAAAUGGCUGGUUCACCUAAGAGAUAUAUAGAACAAAAUAUUUUGCUUGACCUUGUUAAUUCCAUUACUUAGGAGAACAAGAAAAUUAUUAUUUUAAUUAUGUACCCGUUCUUAUCAACUCAUUAUUUUAAUGUGGUGCCUUGCAAAUAUAAACUAUAAACUAUAGGGAACAAGGAGAGUACAAAACUAAAUAGUUCUUCGAAAGUUAUCCUUGUACCUUGCUUUGCCUAUCUUAUCACAAAAAAUAUUAGAAACAUUGAUUAACAAUAUUCGUUUUAUUUGAUUUUCAUUCUUUUACCAGAUAAAACUCAUGUGGAUCUUAUCAUUUAUAUGGUAUCUACUUCUAAAAUGUGAGAAUUCAUAAAUUUCUCCUAAUAAGAUAAAUAUUGGUGUUAAAGAAAAUAUAUGAAAGAAGAUAUCCGUAACACUUUUUAAUACAUACACACACAUAUAUAUAUAUAUAUAUAUAUUAGAGGUUGCUUUUCUUCAUAUUUACACGCCGUUGGCCCAAUGGGUUGGUUUACUUUACCAAAUAUAAUCUUUAUUUAUUUAUUUUUAAAUGAAUGAGAAAAUGAUUGUACACCUCAUUCAUGAUCCAUGCUGAAUGGUUGCUUCAUUAUUGGUGAUUUUUUUUUUAAUUAUUUUAUAAAUGUCCAUAUUUGUCUGUAUCAAUUGCAACAAAAAUUGGUGACUAGUUUGAUAGUCUCAAUUUAAAGUAAACAUACUGACAUUUUUACUUAAAAAAAUUAUAAUUUAAUCCUAAACUAUUAUUGGGGUUCUUACCAAAAAAAACUAAUAUAGUAAUUAAUUUCAAAAUUAUUAUUUGUGCAUUAACGUAGCCUUUCAGUUGGUGUAAAAAUGAGAGAGAAUGAUAAUUAAAAAAUAAAUUUGAUGAAAUUAAAAUAAUUAUAUUUAUUUAUGAGGCUAAAAGAUAUACAUUAAUAGAAGAGAGAAUACCAAAAUUAAACAUAAGAUGUGUCUAAAAGGGAAUCAAAACUAAAUCUCAAAAAACAAAUAACAAAACGGGUAGCCAAAAAGCGGCAUCAUAAGGUGGAGAAUCUUAAACAUGCAUGAAAAUUAGUUUACCAAGCAUGAAAAUCAAAACAGAUAUUAAGCUUAUGAGCCUUCAACCACCACAAAUAAUAUAUUUUCACCCUUUCAAAUAUCAAUCAUUUUAAAGGUAAGUGACUCUUUGUUUUAAAAAAUCCGAUGUUACACUCCUUCUACAUGAUCCAAAUAUUAGCAAAAAAUUGACGAGGUUUCUUUCUGGACAUGUAAGCUCCACCAAACUAAAUAGAAUGCAUGCCAAUGUCGGAGAGAGGCGUACUAUCGAUCCCCCAACAGUUGCAAAAUGGACGAUCGAGUGCUCACAAAAAGAUUACACUUCGUUUUUGUGUGUUAACCCUCGAUUUUUUAAGGAAAGAGGUAAUUAGUAAUCCGGGAGUUUGUUCGGAAAAUAAUUAAGUAAAGUUUAUACAAUAAUAAUUGUUUCCAUCAAGAAUCGAACUCGAGUUCUCAUAAACUAAUUGUUCUAGAGAGAAUUCAUUGACCAUUUAAACUCGGUUACGGAUCAGGAUAACAUAAAAUGAGAAAUGAUGAAGUAUGAAGACAUGAUGUGUAAAUUAAGACCAUACAUAACAUGCCAUCAUUCCUUGUCGUCACCAAAACCAUUCUUGGUAAAAUGGUUUUCUUAUUUCUUUUUCCUCUAUGUCAAAAGCCUUAAACAAGGGUUCAUGUUAAAGUUGCUGCCUUUAUUUGAUUUGAUUUUUGAGGUUUUGUGCUCAGAAGUCAUGACAUAGUUUACUGUUGUCAUCCACACGGUGUUGAAAGAAUCAUGGUGAUGAUUGAUAUGUGGGCCACCUAAUGGGUUUAUUAAUAUGGGGCCAUUAAGGUGAUGUCAUUUUUUACAACAACAAAAAGUUCUAUCACAAGAUAAACUCUACAAACGUUAAUAAUGUUUCUGGUUGAAUUUGUGCCAUGACUUGAGCACAACGACCACAAGUAUAACUUAUUAUUUAGAUCAAUGAAGAUAAUUCGUUCAAAAUCAAAUAUACUUUUUAAACUAUUUUCUAUCAAAACUAAAGCCCAAUUUUCCGUGUAAAACCAUGUUAUCCUAAUUUUGUGUAACAAAGUAAGGUUAAUUUUGGUUGUACAGAAUUCAUUUUAGGUUGGUCUGGUGGUAUUAACUUAUACUUAAAAGCUUGUUGUUCCUCGUACGCAAGUGAGAUAAAUCGCAACAUAUGCAAGUUAAUUCACCCGUAUCAAAUAAAAUAAAAACUCAUUUUCUUCAUCUUAAUUAUUACAACGAGUUGUCAUUUUCUUCUCAAAAACAUUAAAUUUUUUCAUAUCCUUCAUUCAACAUGUAAUCUUCAUCUCUUUCAUUUCAGAAUCAAAUCAUAAUUGUCAUUAUGAGUAAACUACCUCAAAUUCAUCAUUGAGUGAUGUAAUCCUCAUUGAUAGUUUUUUUUUCUUACAAUCAAUACCCAUUUUUAUCUCAAGAGAAUCAACUUUUUCAUCUUCUUUAUUUAAUAUACAAUCUCCAUCUUUUUCAUUUCAAAAUCAAAUCAUAUUUAUUAUUAUUAAGGGUAAAUUACUCCUAAUUCAACAAAGGUAACGCAGACCUCACCAAAAAUUUCGCGGUGGUUACAUGUAAAUGCGGAAAUCUCAUCAAUAACCAAAUAGAGGCUAACAAGUAGGGUUGGGAAUAGGCUAGACUGGCCUACAGGGGCCUACGGCCUGGUUUGUUUUGGCCUGGCCUGGCCUGUUUAGUAGAUAGACUUAGGCUUAGGCUUUUUAAAAAGUCUGUUUAGUUAAAUAGGUCAGGCUUAGACUUCAAGAAAAGUCUGUUAAGUCUAAUAGGCCGGCCUAUUAAUACUUAUUUAUUAAAAAAUAUUUUUUAUAUUAAAAUAAUUGCAUACAUUAAAAAUAUAAACAUCUUUUUCUCUAUCUAUUAGUGCCUAAAUAGGCUUUGUUGUUAUAGACUUUUAAGUAGGCUUUAAUCUAGUUAAAAUUUACUUGUAGUUAAAUAGGCUUUUAAGUAGGCUUUAAGACAUGUUUAGCUUAUUUAGUAAGCCAAAUGAACUAUUUGAUGGCCUUAAUAUAAAGUAGGCCUGUAAGUAGGCUUUCAGACUAGUCCAGACUUUUAAAUAGGUCAGGCCAGACCAAGAAAAACGGCCUAUAAUAGGCCACAUGCCAGGCUCAGGCUUGUAAAUUUUUUCGUAGGCCAGGCUCAGGCCUAUCAAAGCCUGGCCUGACCUGGCCUAUUCCCACCCCUAAUAACAAGUACUAGAUAAUAACGUUAGACCACGGGGACCUGACUGUGUCAACCACAAAUAUAAGGUCAGGGUAGGAGUUACUACUAACUAUGUAGUGGGUCCAUUACAUUAUGGAAUUGGACUUUGAUAGUUUGAGCCAACUUAUGGUAGUAAGUUGAGAGCCACUUUACUAUUUGGUUUCAUUUUAAACACAUUCUUUUUCCGUCUUAUUGCGUUUCUCGCGUGCAUUAUGUAAUUUGGAUUAUAAAAUUCAAACGACAUAAACACUUUAUAAAAUCUAUCAAAAUACGUUAAAAUAUUUUGAAUUUUAGAAUCUGAACCGGACGCAUGAGAAAUUUAUAGAAUAGAAAAAGUAGCUGUCUUCAUUUUACUAUUACACUUACUUUCUCUUUGUCACACAUCUGUGUACUAAUGUCUAGUUAUGGAAUUGGAUCCUCUCUUGUUUUUUUUUUUCUUUUUUCCAUUCAUCCCUCUUUUUUCUAAUCUAAAGAGAUGGAUGAAUGGUUGUGAUUAAUGCAGCACCAACAACAUAACAAAAAUGGUAGAAGAGGAUCUAAACCCGUCUUUUAUCAUGAAUGAAUAAUUUUUUGUUGGAUGUGCAGAAAACAAACAUAUUACACGUCCAAUUAAAUUCAAGUAUUGUGUAAUGUGAUCAAAUGGAUUUGAUGAGAGUAGUGUAACCCUAUUAUUUUACAACAAGUGUAAGUAUUGUUAAUAUUAUGUUGAGGGUAGAUAUUAAGUUUUAAAUCUCUCAGUAAUGAGAUCUAUUUUCUUCUUAGUUAAUUGAUAUUUUCAUUAUCCUAAUUAUAUGAUCAGUUUUUUUUUCCUUCCUAUUUUUGUGAUUAUAUUCUUUCUAGAGUUUAAGGUUAAAGAGAAAAGAACAAGAAAAAAUUAUCAAAGGAACAGUUGCAUCCUAUUUAACAUUAAAAGCAUAAUAGCAAUCAAGCUGCAUGCCUUGAUCUAAAGUUCAUGGAAUUUGAUGAAGCAUAGAAGAAUCUUUUUGAAAUACUGACUAUGACACACAAAGCUUUCAUUGGUCACAGUUACCCAUCUUGCCAUGUCUUCUUUCGCUCUUAUUAUUACUGGUAUUCUAUAAAGCAUGGACACGGACACCGGACACGACAUGGACACUGACAUGUCGAUACAGUUAAUAAUUUGAAAAAAUCACAUAAUUUAGUGUAAUUGUAAGUGUCUGUAUCGUGUUGGAUAUGACACGUGUCCGACACCGAAACACACCUAAUCCGAGGAGUGUCAGUGUUUCAUAGCUAGUAUUCCUAUUUUUACUUUACUUUUUAAACUUUUUGGAUUGGACAAACUUGAAAGGCAAACAACCUAAGGAUGGUACUGGUUCAAAUUAUGAGAAUUCUAAACCAUAAUUUAAAGUUAAAUUAGACAUUUGGUCGCUUAAUUAAUUUGUGUGUUUCCUUCAUAACUCCUAAAAUCGUACAUUUAAGUGCAGAUCCAUUAUUGAACUCGAUGGAUGGGUGUUUCCUCAAACGCUACCAUGGUGGGCUGAUUUUAGCUGUUAUUGGAAGAGACCUUAAUGAUCAAAUGCUUCCAAGACCAUUUGCUAUAGUGGAAGGGAAAACCAAGGACUCUUGGAGUUUGUUCUUGGAACCUCUAAUAAAUGAUUUAGGUUAAGACAUGCAUUUUUAUAAGUCAUCAAUAAUGUUGUAUUUUCAAUUUAUUUUCAUUAUGUUUUUCUAUUCUUUUGUAUAUACAAGAUGUUGAUAAUCUUGAAUGUGAUGUAGAGUCUAUUUCCUUCUAUUGAAGAAUUGCUGCUUAGGGUGGAUCAAAGAUUUUGAGUGAGACACCUUUUACAAUAGUUUUAGAAAAAAGAUUUCUUGGUAAAAAGUUGAAAGAAGUAAUGAGGAGACAUGGUAAGGCCAUAUCCAAAUGCAUGGGAAAGGGAGAUAAAAGGAAAUCAAAUAAGUUAAUGAAGAUGCUUUCAAGUAGCUUAUCCAAAUACGACCAAGACAUUGGAGUAAAUCAUGGUUCAUACCUAAUUCAAAGUGUGAUACACUUGUAAAUUUCAUGUCAGAAGAUUUCAAUCCUGUUAUAACAAAAUAGAAUAACACAAUACACGAGAACAACACAUGAAAAGCUUUUAUGGUAAUAAAUAAUUUUUUGUCUUAUACGAUGUUUGAUGGACAAAUUACUAUUUUGAUAUUUUAGACAAUUUACAGUUGAGACAAAAAGUUGUGGUUUAGUGAAAGAUAAGUAUUUCAGUUUUUGUCAUGUCUUUUGUCCUCCGGUUUGUGUUGUUUCUAUAACAGUUUUACAAUCAAACAUAGUACAAUUGAAGUCAUCUUGUUUAAUCCAUUGUUUUAUAGCAUACCAAAUGAACCCAAAUAGUUAAACCCUAGAAAUGGAAGAAGCGUGUCGACAAAAUUAGAAUUAUGACAUUCGCCACACUCUUUUUUUUUUUUAGGUAGAUAGACGAAAUGGCAAAACCAUCAUAAACUCACACACACAAGUGGAGGUACCGGGGUUCGAACCCCAGUCUGAUAUCCGACCUAAUAAUUUCGGCAUUUUGUCAGUUGAGCUAUGACUUGUGGAUACACUCUUUUUAACAUUAUCGCAAAAUACAAGUUUAUUUCAAAGGAGAAAACUUAGGUACAAUUUCUUAGGUGCUUUUCGUAUGGUUCUUAACUAAAAAUACAUAUUUUUUUGGAUAUAACAAACUUUGAGAAAAUUAUGGAUUUGAGGAAAUCAUAGUGAAUUUAGUUAAGAACCAUACGAAAAGCACAUAAGGAAUUGUACAUAAAUUUUCUACUAUUUCAAAUUAUUAGAAAAUAUAUUUACUAUUAUCAUUACUAUUAUUAAUUUAUUUGGGAAUUGAAAAUUCAUAUUUAAUAAUUUAUACAUCCCCUCAAAAAAAAAAAAAAUUAUACAUAAAAGACAAUUUAAUAUGUAUAGACAAGUACUCAUUGUGGCUCAUCCAAAGGCAGCAAAGAUUGUUAUUUUUCAAAGUAAAGACAAAAACGAGACAUAAACACAGAACUAUAGCAGAAUUUAGAAGAAAUAUCUAUAUAAUUUAUGCAAUUUGACCGAUUAGACCUAAGAAAAUUGUUUAAUAGGUCCAUCUAAACGUUUAAAGGCCUUUGAAAAUCCAAAAUAUUAAUGCCUCUAUCAAGAAUUACAAACCGAACCCUCUCGGGUCCUAACUUUCGCUCACUGUUGUCUGAGGGUUACGAUAAGAUCUCAUGUCUCUACAUCUCUUAAGCAUGCCUCCAGUCAAAGCUCAUGUCAAAUUCAAUUCUUUGAAAAUAGAUGGUUGUGAUGUAUUUAAACCCGCAUAUAAGAUGACUGAGUUGGAGAGGCAACUUAACCAUUUUUUUUUCAUGAAUCUCGUGAAAAUCAAUUUGUGUCUCAUAUUUCAGUUCAUUACGUAGGUCUCAUACAUAGAUCACAAGGAUGAUAACAACAAAGAUAUCAUUUUGUCAUUAUCCAAAGAUUCUUAAUGAUGAUUCCGCGUAUGCCGCAUAUUUUUUAAUUACCAUGGUAUCUAAAAGGGAGUGUUAUAUCUUCGGGUUCGUCCAAACUGUAAAUAUUAAAAAUGUUAGUAGAGUUUGGUUAAAUGGUGUUGUAAUUUUAAAAUGUGAUGUCAAUUUGCAUUAUGUUUUUCAAUUUGUCCAAUGGUUGUUCUAAUCUAUCUACAUCGUUGUUAAACUAUUGUUAUUGAAUUAUGAGUGGUUGUUGAAUAAUGAUUGGUGGUACUAUAAUACAUGUUUCAGCCAAAUGCAAAAACGAAUCAGAUCCUAACCCCCACACCCUUCGGGUUGUAACCCCCGGAUCCUUGAUAAAGAAAAAAAAGAUGAUCGGGUCGUAACCCCUAAACCUGAGCAAUUGAGAGUUACAACCCGAGAAGGGUUUUUUUCAGAUUUUUUAGGUGCAUGUGAGUAUUUAAAGGGGUCUAUAGAGAAAAUUUCUCUCUAUUAUGUUGUUGUCUCACAAGGCCUGCCCAACAAUAAGACUAGUAAAACCCUCACGUAGAACAUCAACAAAACAUUAUUUUUCAUUAGAUUUUAUGAAUAAAAAUGUCUCAUGCUAAUAAAAAAAAAAAAAAAACAAAAGCUUCGUACAUUAAAGAUUGUUUUAGGUGUCACUUACUAUUAAAAGAUAUUACGUUGUUUCACUAAAUAUUUCAUGUGAAAAAGAGAAUAAAUAUCAAUCAACUUUCAUUUUAUUUUUUCUUGGAAAAAUCAACUUUUUUAAUUAUGUCUAGGUUGAAUCAAGGAAAUAAAUCUCAUAUACUACGUCAUAUAAUUCAUAAAUUAAAAUAGUAGUUGAUAUUUAGACACAAUAGAAAAUCAUAAAGGCUUUAGUUAUCUUCAAUUGGAAGUAGUGCUUCAAGUGUCAUAGCCAUUACAUGGCAUAAAGUUCUUCAAUUGUAAAGUACAUAAGUUGAUGAUGCAGUUCAACUUCAAUAAACAGUGCUUAGACUAACUGCAACAACACAAAGUAAUAGCAAUUUAAACACUUCAAUAAACAGUGCAUAGCCAUUUUAUAUUGUCUGAAGGAUUUUUUGAUAUUGGAUUUGAAAAAUAUCAAUGGAAUGGAUUUUUUCAAAACCGAUUCGAAUUGAAAUCAUCUUCAUCAUAACACAAAAUUCACUUGAUUAUGACGAGUCACUAUGCCAACACAGAACAGCAGGGGAAUAACGAAUUAUUUGGCAAGCCAAGAUGCCUUCCAAAAUUAAGAACUUCAUGUGGAGAGUAAGGAGGAACUAUUUGCCUAUACGUGUUAGGCUUCAAACGCGAGAGUCAGCUGUGAUACGCAAUGUGCUUUUCGUAAGAGCAUGAAGAUAGUCUGCACAUUUUGUUCCAUUGUGACAGAGUCAGAGAUGCUAGCAAAGGACAGGUUUUUGGAGUACUAUCGUGCCAGUGAUUCAUGUGAACAACAAUAUUUCUCAGGCUGUGUUCGCUAUAUUGCAGAAAUUGAAUAAGAUCCAAAUCCCAACCUUCUGUGUCUUCGUAUGAAGUAUAUGGAAGAGUAGAAACAACAAAAUCUGGAACAAACUAAGUGAGACCUGCCAGAGAAUCUGCGUGCGAGCUGAUAGCCUUCUGGAAAGCUGGCAGCGCUCAAAAUAUCAAACAAAAUGGGCAACAACCCCCUGUCAUAGCCUACAAUGUAUGGUGGCAGAAACCGGUAGUAGGUCGGUACAAAUGUAAUGUGAUGCUCAUUCUCGAGCAAACAAAAUAAAGUAGAUAUCGGUGUAUGUAUCAGAUAUGGACAUGACAGUUUUGUUCUAGCCCGAACUGAUUGGUUAUCCCCUCUAGUCGAUGUUGAUAUUGGUGAAGCACUUGGGCUCCUCACAGCCUUACAGUUACAAAACUUGGAUUUUGAGAUGGAUUCGAAAUUGGUUGUGGACAGUGUCUAUGGGAAGAGGAUCAUGAAUUUGGAUUUUGGUGCCAUCAUAAAUGACUGUUGUACUCUCCAUGUUUUUGAUCUUGUAACUUCUGAUGUUAGGUUCAUUAGGAGACAAGCCAAUGAAGUCGUUCACAGAUUAGCUCGGGCUAGUUUCCACAUAUUUAUUAAUAUUCCAUCAUGCAUCGAAACUUU